RNAcentral lists this ribosomal RNA (251 nucleotides) under uncultured bacterium. Its description in RNAcentral is "partial 16S ribosomal RNA". It matches the Rfam family "Bacterial small subunit ribosomal RNA", at positions 524 to 776 of the family's 1533-position model. The record is from RNAcentral.
UACGAGGGGGGCAAGCGUUGUUCGGAAUUACGGGGCGUAAAGGGCUCGUAGGCGGUGAAUCGGGUUGAAAGUGAAAGUCGCCAAAAAGUGGCGGAAUGCUCUCGAAACCAAUUCACUUGAGUGAGACAGAGGAGAGUGGAAUUUCGUGUGUAGGGGUGAAAUCCGUAGAUCUACGAAGGAACGCCAAAAGCGAAGGCAGCUCUCUGGGUCCCUACCGACGCUGGGGUGCGAAAGCAUGGGGAGCGAACAGG